GUUGGCCUCGGAUCAGGUGGGGAUACCCGCUGAACUUAAGCAUAUCAAUAAGCGGAGGAAAAGAAACCAACAGGGAUUGCCUCAGUAACGGCGAGUGAAGCGGCAACAGCUCAAAUUUGAAAUCUGGCGCAAGCCCGAGUUGUAAUUUGCAGAGGAUGUUUCGGGUGAAGCCACGGUCCAAGUCCCUUGGAACAGGACGUCAUAGAGGGUGAGAACCCCGUACCUGGCCGUCGGUGCCCCCCGCUGUGAAACUCCUUCGACGAGUCGAGUUGUUUGGGAAUGCAGCUCUAAAUUGGUGGUAAAUUCCAUCUAAAGCUAAAUACCGGCCAGAGACCGAUAGCGCACAAGUAGAGUGAUCGAAAGAUGAAAAGCACUUUGAAAAGAGAGUUAAAAAGUACGUGAAAUUGUUGAAAGGGAAGCGCUUGCGGCCAGACUUGCCCGCGGUUGCUCAGCCCGCCUUUUGGCGGGUGCACUCUUCCGCGGUCAGGCCAGCAUCGGUUUGGGCGGUCGGAUAAAGGCGUCGGGAACGUGGCCUCCCCUCGGGGAGGUGUUAUAGCCCGGCGCGCAAUGCGGCCAGCCCGGACCGAGGUUCGCGCUUUGCUAGGAUGCUGGCGUAAUGGCCGUAAGCGGCCCGUCUUGAAACACGGACCAAGGAGUCUAACAUCUAUGCGAGUGUUUGGGUGUCAAACCCGUGCGCGUAAUGAAAGUGAACGGAGGUGGGAACCGCAAGGUGCACCAUCGACCGAUCCUGAUGUCUUCGGAAGGAUUUGAGUAAGAGCAUAGCUGUUGGGACCCGAAAGAUGGUGAACUAUGCGUGAAUAGGGUGAAGCCAGAGGAAACUCUGGUGGAGGCUCGCAGCGGUUCUGACGUGCAAAUCGAUCGUCAAAUUUGCGUAUAGGGGCGAAAGACUAAUCGAACCAUUU
Molecule: ribosomal RNA, 923 nt
Filed under: Venturia inaequalis
Lineage: Eukaryota; Fungi; Ascomycota; Dothideomycetes; Venturiales; Venturiaceae
Description: eukaryotic LSU rRNA
Rfam family: Eukaryotic large subunit ribosomal RNA
Source: RNAcentral